ACGGCCGUUGUGCGGGGGACCAUGAUGGCGCUGAAUCACAUGAGGAAGGAUAAAGGGGGUAGGGGCGGCGUCAUCAUCAACACCGCGUCAAUGGCAGCGUUGCUGCCUACAUACUGGUUCCCUGUUUAUGGAGCCAGUAAGAGCGCUGUUUAUCACUUCACGUCGAGUUGGGCACAAAAUCCUGAAAUUAAAGCUGCCGAAGUUCGACUGAUCAGUA
Long non-coding RNA from Haliotis rubra (blacklip abalone), 217 nucleotides. RefSeq lists it as uncharacterized. Lineage: Eukaryota; Metazoa; Mollusca; Gastropoda; Lepetellida; Haliotidae. The transcript has 3 exons. The record is from RefSeq and is a predicted model, not a curated record.